Salvia miltiorrhiza (redroot sage) is the source of this 188-nucleotide long non-coding RNA. RefSeq lists it as uncharacterized. The transcript has 4 exons. Lineage: Eukaryota; Viridiplantae; Streptophyta; Magnoliopsida; Lamiales; Lamiaceae. The record is from RefSeq and is a predicted model, not a curated record.
CAUUUCUAAAUUCUGCAGUCUCAAUUUCACACAGCAAGUUAAGAAAUAAAUAUCUUCCACCACACCUAUUCAAGGUCCAGACGGGAAGUGAAAGCUAAAGAAGGAGGUAACUCUACGCCCCUAGUGGGAACGAAUAAGGUUGAGCGGGUGAUGGAAUGGAGUGGAGUUGAGCGGAUGUACCUUUUGAC